UGGCGAGUGGCGGACGGGUGAGGAUACAUCGGAAUCUACUUUUUCGUGGGGGAUAACGUAGGGAAACUUACGCUAAUACCGCAUACGACCUACGGGUGAAAGCAGGGGAUCUUCGGACCUUGCGCGAUUAAAUGAGCCGAUGUCGGAUUAGCUAGUUGGCGGGGUAAAGGCCCACCAAGGCGACGAUCCGUAGCUGGUCUGAGAGGAUGAUCAGCCACACUGGAACUGAGACACGGUCCAGACUCCUACGGGAGGCAGCAGUGGGGAAUAUUGGACAAUGGGCGCAAGCCUGAUCCAGCCAUGCCGCGUGGGUGAAGAAGGCCUUCGGGUUGUAAAGCCCUUUUGUUGGGAAAGAAAAGCACGGGGCUAAUACCCUUGUGUUCUGACGGUACCCAAAGAAUAAGCACCGGCUAACUUCGUGCCAGCAGCCGCGGUAAUACGAAGGGUGCAAGCGUUACUCGGAAUUACUGGGCGUAAAGCGUGCGUAGGUGGUGAUUUAAGUCCGUUGUGAAAGCCCUGGGCUCAACCUGGGAAUUGCAGUGGAUACUGGGUCACUAGAAUGUGGUAGAGGGUAGCGGAAUUCCUGGUGUAGCAGUGAAAUGCGUAGAGAUCAGGAGGAACA
RNAcentral lists this ribosomal RNA (622 nucleotides) under Xanthomonas sp. EECC-599. RNAcentral's name for it is "bacterial SSU rRNA". It matches the Rfam family "Bacterial small subunit ribosomal RNA", at positions 89 to 708 of the family's 1533-position model. The record is from RNAcentral. Lineage: Bacteria; Pseudomonadati; Pseudomonadota; Gammaproteobacteria; Lysobacterales; Lysobacteraceae.